AUGGAAUUCCUGGGCGACCAUGAACUAUCAAGGUACAGUCUUGUUCCGCCUCCCUCUGCAGAAUCAAGGAGGACUGCCGGGGAGUUGGACCAAAAUGGCUCAGUGUCAUCAGGACUGAUGUCCAGGCUCGGGGUGCUAGAACGAACGGGCGCUGCAUCGGCGCAUCAUGUUCAAGCCCCUGUACGCGUGGCAAGGGUGGGUGUGUGCGAGAGUUUUGGCACGCAAGGAUCUGCCUCGUCCCAGGCGAGUGCGGAUGAUGCGGUGGUGGGGGAUUCGGGAGGGCAAGAUGCGACCGCUGAGGCAACAUCUGGAUGGAUUAAAAGGGUGCGUGUGGGAAAGGCUGCUGUCGAAAGGGAGUUCAAUCCGAACAGAAAAAGUGCUCUGGAAAUUUCUGUUAGGGAAUUUGUUGAACACAAGGAGGGAAUUGUAGUGAACCCAACCAUUGGCAAAUCCUUUGAUUCCCUGGACGAGGCUUAUGACUUCUACAACCUAUAUUCAUGGGAAAGCGGAUUUGGGGUUAGGUUAGCAAAGAGCCGAUUGAAUGUUCACCGAAUGAAAUGUAUGCAGGAGAUUGUCUGUGGUUGCGCGGUAUGUGUCACACCAUGCUAA
RNAcentral lists this ribosomal RNA (609 nucleotides) under Triticum aestivum (bread wheat). RNAcentral describes it as "partial small subunit ribosomal RNA". The record is from RNAcentral. Lineage: Eukaryota; Viridiplantae; Streptophyta; Magnoliopsida; Poales; Poaceae.